CUGUCAGAACAUGUAGAAUUCACGUCAAGCCAUCGAAGUGCGAAUUCUUUCGUGACGAGCUGACUUGUCUGGGCUAUGUAAUCAACAAACACGGCAUCCACCCAACGGACGAAAAACUGGCCGCAAUAACCAAGGCACCGGCGCCAACAGAUAAGCACCAACUUCAGUUGCUGCUGGGCCUCAUAAACUAAUAUGGAAAGUUCCUUCCAAACUUAUCUACUGUUCUUUUCCCCUUAAAUAGGCUCUUGCAGAAAGGCGUCGCCUGAAAUUGGAACACGGCUUGCGAUCGCGCCUUUCAGCUCAUCAAGCAGCUGCAUUCGUCAGCUCCUGUCUUGGCGCACUAUGAUCCAGGCCUGCUCCUGCAGUUAUCUUGUGAUGCGUCCGCCGACGGCAUUUCCAGUAGUACCGGCAGCGAGUAGGAACCAGCCACAUGAGAACAGCUCCGUAUCAUCCCAGCAGCAACGGCCUGGUAGAACGUUUCGUCCAGACUCUGAAGGGUGCACUUCAGAAGUCAAGCCGACCCACAUCACCGUCGGAGCUCGCAGACUUCCUCCGACUACUGCAGAGGCACCCCCUCUUGCUGUUGGGGAGGCGCCAGUUUCAGGAGACCAGUCGCCGCAGGCAUCGUGCGACUACGUUCAGCGAAGGAGACAUCGUGCGUGUCCGCAAUUUUCGCCGAGGACCAAGGUGGUUCAGUGCUACCAUUCUCGCACGCACCGGUCCAGUGUCGUAUUGUGUUAGUGUGGUGACCCCUCGGGGUGUGUGUGAGUGGGUGCGUCACCGUAACCACAUCGUACGUGCUCCGGACUCUGACGCCGCGGUGGUCACAGCCACCGACUUCCACGAUGAAGACCAUGUCACAGCUGGCACUAGCGCUAGCUGCCCCACCGUGCCUGUGGAACAGCCGUCGACACCCAGGGAAGCCGCCGAACAGGGUCGCCACCACCCACUACGUCAGCGCGGACCUCCCGAACGCAACGACACCUAAUCCUACUACAGGACAGUAAACAAGUGUGGGGGAGAUGUCGCGCGCCUAGGCGACAAGGCGUCACAGCUAGGCAUGCGCCGUGGUAGCGGCGCAAGCAUUAUCACUCGGUGCUUGUGCUUAAAAGCGCCGGCAUUCAAGCUGGCGCACGCUUUCAUUCCUGUAACACAGAACCGGGCAGUUCGCCCGCCGUCGUUAAGUUGAUGUCUAAAUAAAGCCGUAUUGUUUUCGCUCCA
Long non-coding RNA from Dermacentor andersoni, 1221 nucleotides. RefSeq lists it as uncharacterized. The record is from RefSeq and is a predicted model, not a curated record. Lineage: Eukaryota; Metazoa; Arthropoda; Arachnida; Ixodida; Ixodidae.